Molecule: ribosomal RNA, 516 nt
Filed under: Eulaema nigrita
Lineage: Eukaryota; Metazoa; Arthropoda; Insecta; Hymenoptera; Apidae
Description: partial 16S ribosomal RNA
Source: RNAcentral
GUCAAUAUACUCAAUGAAAUUCUUAAAUGGCUGCAGUAUAUUGACUGUACUAAGGUAGCAUAAUGAAUUGUCCUUUAAUUAGAGAAUAGAAUGAAAGAAUUACGGAAAUUACAAAAUUACUGAAAUAUGUUGCCUACAAUAUAUACUAUAAAUUAARRUUUGUGUUAAAAUACAUUAAUAAAAUUACGGGACGGCAAUACCCCCUAGAAUUUUGUUUUAUUCAUUAAUUACAAAACUUGUCUUAAUUUUUAAUUGUGUAAUAAUAUUUGAUUGACAUGAUUAAUAAAUUUAUUUAACUUUAUUACAGUGAAAACUCCGAUUGAAGAAAAUUACGAUUCAUAAAAUAAAGAUUGAUUAAUAAGUUAUAUUACCUUAGGGAUGAGAGCGUAAUAUCUCUUCAUCGUACAUAUUAAUGAAGGUGUUUGCGACCUCGACGUUGAAUUACAAUAAAUUUUAAGUGGAGAUAUUUAAUAAUUAAUCCUGUUCAACUUUUAAAAUCUAACAUGAUUUGACUUG